CGCACAUCUACAUGCCCGGCUGCAGUGACCCACCUCCUGCAGUCACGCCUGCCCACAGUCUCCACCCAGUCAGUCCAUUCAAACUAGGAUGGACUGACUAGGUCACAGCUCUCACAACCCAAGGAUUUCAGCUCCAAACAGCCCUGAUUAACCGGGAGCUUUUGGAAGACACCUCUUAUCCAAACUCUGUCACCGUUUCUAGGUCCCUGACUGCCUUUCCAUUUCAAAAAUCGAGUGGAGUUGGCCUCUGGAGAGACCUCUGCGACUGAGGGAGUCCUGAGGAAGGCGUGGAAUGGUUCACACUCGGUUUCCAGGACAGCAGCUCCAGUACCCAACAGAGAGCCAAAGCUGCCGGGCACCCGCUGUCUUCUCCACGGCCUCGGAAUUAGGACGGGGGGAGGUGGUCCCCUUGGGCUUUGUUAUCGUUAAUGUUUACUUUCUGGAGAAGACAGGUUGCCUUGCUAUUAGGUCAACAUUCUCUGGACCAAGGAUUUCCUAUUGCAGGGAGCUCAGGGUUCAUUCAGCAGAGAAGGUCAUGUCGUCCCUUCUAGGUGGUCUGGAUUCCCCUGGAGAUGCCACCUCUGCACAGGACAGAGUCCUUCCUGUCAAGAUCCGUCACAUCAGACUCCACUUGCAACUGGACUUACAGAUUCCCUUGGACUUCAAUCCUGUCCUUCCUGUGACCCAGGGGAGUCACAAGGACAGCUUUUCUGUGAACAGCCCGGCAGAGGCCUGCCCCUCCGUCACAGCCAGGAGCCAGAGUGCAGGACGCAGAGUUUCCAGACUGACAGCGCACAUCUAGCUUGUGUUCCUGAGGACAAAGGAAAACAAAAGCUCUCAUUUUUCCUUUAAAAAGAGCAUAAUUUUCUAUCUUUCUCACUAGCACUCAUGCUUGCUGGGAUGGAAAAUCUGGAAAAGCUGCAAAAUUGUGUUAUUCUGCAGCCCACGUGCCAGGAAAAUCCUCAGGGAAGCAGUGAGGGGGUGUCAGGGGGCGUCGUUUACUCCGCAGGAGCUGGUUGUAGCACAUGAAAUUUGUCACUCCGUGCUCUUUGGCUAAAGGUUUUGGACACGGAUAUAUACCAAGAAGAGUCCUGUUGGAGGGUUGUCUCUGGAACAAUAGGGAAAUCCCUCCUCCCCUUGUCCUGCUCAGUCACUGAUUGAGCACAGCCUCGGAGCCAUGUGCCGCAUGCCCAUUGGCGAGACUUCUCAGUGCACCCUUGAUGUGCCAGCAAAGCUAGUUAAGAAAUAUAGCCCGUGACCCCACAAGUGGCAUUUCCAUUGGGACGGAAUGUGCAAUACAUCCUUAUAAAGUCACUAAACCCUGGGUGGACGAGACUCUCCUUGUAUUCGCAACUUUACUC
Molecule: long non-coding RNA, 1361 nt
Filed under: Marmota monax (woodchuck)
Lineage: Eukaryota; Metazoa; Chordata; Mammalia; Rodentia; Sciuridae
Source: RNAcentral